RNAcentral lists this ribosomal RNA (238 nucleotides) under uncultured bacterium. RNAcentral describes it as "partial 16S ribosomal RNA". It matches the Rfam family "Bacterial small subunit ribosomal RNA", at positions 96 to 334 of the family's 1533-position model. The record is from RNAcentral.
CGGCGGACGGGUGAGUAACGCGUGGGUAACCUACCCUGUACACACGGAUAACAUACCGAAAGGUAUGCUAAUACGGGAUAAUAUAUUUGAGAGGCAUCUCUUGAAUAUCAAAGGUGAGCCAGUACAGGAUGGACCCGCGUCUGAUUAGCUAGUUGGUAAGGUAACGGCUUACCAAGGGGACGAUCAGUAGCCGACCUGAGAGGGUGAUCGGCCACAUUGGAACUGAGACACGGUCCAA